RNAcentral lists this long non-coding RNA (448 nucleotides) under Carica papaya (papaya). RNAcentral describes it as "long non-coding RNA (CPAP_LNC007069)". Lineage: Eukaryota; Viridiplantae; Streptophyta; Magnoliopsida; Brassicales; Caricaceae. The record is from RNAcentral.
AAUUAAUUAAGUUUAACGCGACCAAAGGCCCGAAUAAAUAGGAUUUCCAAAUCAUUUUAGCACAAUGAUGGGUAGGGUGGUAUAAAAUUACUCUCUUAUUAUGGGUGUUUCUCAUUGAUGCAAUGUUGCAUCUUUAGAACAUAUUCUAGACUAUCUAGGAUCACAUCAUAGGGAAUGCUAGUACCAUUCCCAGAGAGUGGUUCACCAACAGUCAGUAACAGUCAUAUUCGAUCACUCCUCAGUGAUAACAGUCAAAUAGAUUUUAGUCUUUCCACGUUUCUUAUCAGUUCAAAAUCAUAAUUAAUUUUACGGUGAAAACCGGUGGGUGUUCAUUAACCAAUCUCGACUCAACAAGGGCCCACAUUCCUAUAUUGGACCAUCAAGUUACCUUCUUAGGUAAAAACUAAAUUCGGUAACCCUCUGGGCCAUUACCUAAAGGCGAAGUUGA